Molecule: ribosomal RNA, 422 nt
Filed under: Hepatozoon sp.
Lineage: Eukaryota; Apicomplexa; Hepatozoidae
Description: SSU rRNA
Rfam family: Eukaryotic small subunit ribosomal RNA
Source: RNAcentral
ACCACAUCUAAGGAAGGCAGCAGGCGCGCAAAUUACCCAAUUCUAACAGCAUAAGAGAGGUAGUGACAAGAAAUAACAGUACAAGGCAGUUAAAAUGCUUUGUAAUUGGAAUGAUAGAAAUUUAAAUACUUUUUAAAGUAUCAAUUGGAGGGCAAGUCUGGUGCCAGCAGCCGCGGUAAUUCCAGCUCCAAUAGCGUAUAUUAAAAUUGUUGCAGUUAAAAAGCUCGUAGUUGAAUUUUUGCUAAAAAUAACCGGUCUGCUUUUAUUAAUAAAAGUGGUAUCUUGGUGUGUUUCUAGCAAUAAUGUCCUUUGAAAUGUUUUUUACUUCAAUGUAAAAAGCAAUUUUCAGGAUUUUUACUUUGAGAAAAUUAGAGUGUUUCAAGCAGACUAACGUUUUGAAUACUGCAGCAUGGAAUAAUAAA